Molecule: long non-coding RNA, 553 nt
Filed under: Monodelphis domestica (gray short-tailed opossum)
Lineage: Eukaryota; Metazoa; Chordata; Mammalia; Didelphimorphia; Didelphidae
Description: lncRNA (ENSMODG00000046891.1)
Source: RNAcentral
GAGAACCCUGACCUCAAUUCCUUUCUCUUCCGUUCCUAAUUCUGAGAGAAUACAGAAUUUGGAAUUAUAAGACAUAGAUUUGGAUCCUGGGCCUUAGAGACCUAUAAAGUGCCUAUAACACAAGGUACUUUGGGAUAACUCUACGUAUCAGAAAGGAUUAUGGCAUGAUAGAUUUAGAGCAUAAAGAACCCUGUAUUUCAUCUAGUUCAACUCCCUCAUUUUACAGAUCGAGAAAUUGAGACCCAGAGAGAAGAAAUAACUUAACCAAGGUUACCCAAAAGGAUUCACUGGAUCCACCAGAGAAGGGAAUGGCAGACUGAUUCAGUAUCCAUGCCAAGAAAACCCCAAGGACAGCUAUGGUCCUGAAGAGUCAGACAUGACUGAACACAACAGAUGGGGAAACUGAGGCUGAGAGGUCAAGCAUCAAGGAUUCAAACAAAGAUCGUCUGACUCCAGACCUUUGGGCUUACACAGAAGUGGCAUUUACAGUAAGACCAACCUCCAGAAGCUACAUCAGCUUCCCCAUGCAUGCUGUUAGCUUCUCUCUGCUCCC